Molecule: unclassified non-coding RNA, 345 nt
Filed under: soil metagenome
Description: partial contains 5.8S ribosomal RNA, internal transcribed spacer 2, and large subunit ribosomal RNA
Rfam family: 5.8S ribosomal RNA (bases 1-119)
Source: RNAcentral
GAUGAAGAACGUAGCGAAAUGCGAUACGUAAUGUGAAUUGCAAAUUCAGUGAAUCAUCGAGUCAUUGAACGCACAUUGCGCCCCCUGGUAUUCCGGGGGGCAUGCCUGUCCGAGCGUCAUUGCUGCCCUCAAGCACGGCUUGUGUGUUGGGCCCCGUCCUCCGAUCCCGGGGGACGGGCCCGAAAGGCAGCGGCGGCACCGCGUCCGGUCCUCGAGCGUAUGGGGCUUUGUCACCCGCUCUGUAGGCCCGGCCGGCGCUUGCCGAUCAACCCAAAUUUUUAUCCAGGUUGACCUCGGAUCAGGUAGGGAUACCCGCUGAACUUAAGCAUAUCAAUAAGCGGAGGA